AGAUUUCAGGAGGUUUGAACGUGGAAGCUGGUGAGCAUGGUUUAAAUCCACGGGAGUUGGAGACGGUUGCUGAACCAAACAAAUACGGCAUUCACGCGGCUGCUGGCGAUGAAUAUGUAAGCUGGUGUAACCAAUGCGGGAGCUACGGAGUGGACGCAGAACAAACGCGGAAUAAACACGCGUUAUGAAGUCUUUAAAAAGAGGCACAGGAAAUAUUUUUGGAGGAGGCUGCAAAUCGACCACCCUUCUUCUCUACUUAAAGACUAUUUUCGCUAUCAUUUUUUUUAUCUCUUCUCCACGCCUCCACCAAAUCCUUGCUGACCAUCCUAUCCUUUCUUCCGUCAUCAAUCUACUUUCAAAAGAAGUUGCAGCUUCGCAUCAAGAAGAACACUAAUCCAAAAAUUGCUGUCAGUAGGAAGAUGAAUAUCUUCAUCAUGCAUGGCUAAUUCUCUUCUUCUCGAGAAAAAGACACACAUUGUGUCACGCCCCCGACUCGAAAUUGUGAAUCGAGGGUCAUUGCAAUCACCGGAUACUCAUAGAAAAUUUUUUUCAUAAGCAUGCA
This 562-nucleotide long non-coding RNA is filed under the name Elaeis guineensis (African oil palm). RNAcentral's name for it is "long non-coding RNA (EGUI_LNC053296)". Lineage: Eukaryota; Viridiplantae; Streptophyta; Magnoliopsida; Arecales; Arecaceae. The record is from RNAcentral.